UACGAAGGUGGCUAGCGUUGCUCGGAAUUACUGGGCGUAAAGGGCGUGUAGGCGGUUCGCGAAGUCGGGCGUGAAAGCCCCGGGCUCAACCCGGGAAUUGCGUUCGAUACUGGCGGACUUGAAUCCGGGAGAGGAUGGUGGAACUCCGAGUGUAGAGGUGAAAUUCGUAGAUAUUCGGAAGAACACACGUGGCGAAGGCGGCCAUCUGGACCGGUAUUGACGCUAAGGCGCGACAGCGUGGGGAGCAAACAGG
Molecule: ribosomal RNA, 253 nt
Filed under: uncultured bacterium
Lineage: Bacteria
Description: partial 16S ribosomal RNA
Rfam family: Bacterial small subunit ribosomal RNA
Source: RNAcentral